RNAcentral lists this ribosomal RNA (451 nucleotides) under uncultured bacterium. RNAcentral describes it as "partial 16S ribosomal RNA". It matches the Rfam family "Bacterial small subunit ribosomal RNA", at positions 29 to 523 of the family's 1533-position model. The record is from RNAcentral.
AGCGAACGCUGGCGGCAGGCCUAACACAUGCAAGUCGAGCGGCCGUAGCAAUACGGCAGCGGCAGACGGGAGAGUAACACGUGGGAACGCGCCCUUCGGUUCGGGAUAACCCAGGGAAACUUGGGCUAAUACCGGAUACGCCCUUACGGGGAAAGAUUUAUUGCCGAAGGAACGGCCCGCGUCCGAUUAGCUAGUUGGUGAGGUAACGGCUCACCAAGGCGACGAUCGGUAGCUGGUCUGAGAGGAUGACCAGCCUCACUGGGACUGAGACACGGCCCAGACUCCUACGGGAGGCAGCAGUGGGGAAUAUAGGACAAUGGGCGCAAGCCUGAUCCAGCCAUGCCGCGUGGGUGAUGAAGGCCCUAGGGUUGUAAAGCCCUUUCAGCGGGGAAGAUAAUGACGGUACCCGCAGAAGAAGCCCCGGCUAACUUCGUGCCAGCCGCCGCUGUAA